UCAGCGUCCCAACGGCUUCCUGACGGGACGGUUAGCAACUCUAUCGGAGCG
Jannaschia aquimarina is the source of this 51-nucleotide regulatory RNA element. It matches the Rfam family "SAM/SAH riboswitch aptamer". NCBI's taxonomy places the organism in Bacteria, Pseudomonadati, Pseudomonadota, Alphaproteobacteria, Rhodobacterales, Roseobacteraceae. The record is from Rfam.